AGGCGGUUAGCUCAGCGGUAGAGCGUUUCGUUUACACCGAAAGGGUCGGGGGUUCAAAUCCCUCACCGCCUACCA
Molecule: transfer RNA, 75 nt
Filed under: Alphaproteobacteria bacterium
Lineage: Bacteria; Pseudomonadati; Pseudomonadota; Alphaproteobacteria
Description: tRNA-Val
Rfam family: tRNA
About the family: Transfer RNA (tRNA) molecules are approximately 80 nucleotides in length. Their secondary structure includes four short double-helical elements and three loops (D, anti-codon, and T loops).
Source: RNAcentral